GGAGUCUAGCAUGUGCGCGAGUCAUUGGGACUCUUACGAAACCUAAAGGCGCAAUGAAAGUGAAGGUCCGCCUUGCGCGGACCGAGGGAGGACGGCCGGUCCCGAGGGACCGACCUGCACUCCCGGGGCGUCUCGUUCUCAUAGCGAGAAGAGGCGCACCCAGAGCGUACACGCUGGGACCCGAAAGAUGGUGAACUAUGCCUGGUCAGGACGAAGUCAGGGGAAACCCUGAUGGAGGUCCGUAGCGAUUCUGACGUGCAAAUCGAUCGUCGGAACUGGGUAUAGGGGCGAAAGACUAAUCGAACCAUCUAGUAGCUGGUUCCCUCCGAAGUUUCCCUCAGGAUAGCUGGCGCUCGCUUCUCGCGAGUCUCAUUCGGUAAAGCGAAUGAUUAGAGGCAUUGGGGUCGAAACGGCCUCAACCUAUUCUCAAACUUUAAAUGGGUGAGAUCUCCGGCUUGCUUGAACUGUGAAGCCGCGAGAUAUCGGAUCAGAGUGCCAAGUGGGCCACUUUUGGUAAGCAGAACUGGCGCUGUGGGAUGAACCAAACGCCGAGUUAAAGCGCCUAAAUCGACGCUUAUGGGAUACCAUGAAAGGCGUUGGUAACUUAAGACAGCAGGACGGUGGCCAU
Molecule: ribosomal RNA, 628 nt
Filed under: Homaloplia sp. JFM-2002
Lineage: Eukaryota; Metazoa; Arthropoda; Insecta; Coleoptera; Scarabaeidae
Description: eukaryotic LSU rRNA
Rfam family: Eukaryotic large subunit ribosomal RNA
Source: RNAcentral